CCUCCCCCGCCUUCGAGCGCACGCUGCCAACGGAAAGAAAAGUCACUCGCGUCGCGCAGGCGGAAAAAGCAGCCAGCAGCAGCGGAGGCGCAAAAAGCGAAAACCACCCUCACCGCAGCAGCUCGGCUAGCCUCCAGGUCCAGGCCACCACGGCGAAAGGUGGAGGGAGGAGAGGGAAAACAAAGGGGACACAACCAAAUUCGCAGCGCCGGCUCCCCCAAAACCUAGCCCCCUCCCCUCUCCCCGGCGUCGUCCCAUGUGCCCCGUGUCGCCGGCGCCCCGGCGCCAGCAGUAGAUCGCCGCGCCGGGGAUGGCGCGGCCCGGGCACGCCAUGCGCCGCUCCGGCCGAGGACUGUUUGAAGAUGCUCCAAGGAAGCUUUCAUUUAAUUUGUUGGUUGUUAUAUUGGCUCUGGAAUUUAUCAGUGAGACCAAUUUGAUUGCCAAAACAUUGGCCCUAAAGGCUGACACUCCUGCUAUGCCUCCUUCACAAGGAUGGAGUCCAGUUCGGACCACGUUGUCCCGAACCAAAGUUGGCACAAGUGUUGCAAUGCAUCAGCAUAGGCAAAAGAAGCUACAUUCAUCGCCAUCUGCUCUGUCAUCUGUGCACCCUCCUAUUUCCGCACCGAGUUAUAGCUCCAUCUCUGGUGCUUCUGACCUCUCCUUGUAUUCCUCGGACCUGUUCGAUCCUUCGCUGCAGCAUAACAGGCGCUUACCGGAAGAUGUUACUGCUCAUGAAAAUGCUGCACCCCCUGAUACAGCUUUGAAUACUAGUGCAGCUCCUUCUGGAUUAGUACAGCCUCCAAUAUCUCCACACGAUGGCUGCUGUGCUCCAAACAUGGUACAAAGACGAGGGAGCCAGGACUGCCAUUGUGUUUACCCAGUUAGAGUUGAGCUCUUCCUUCACAAUGUUUCCUUGAAUUCAAAUUGGAGCAACGAAUUUCUCGAGGAGCUCGCGUCGCAGCUCAGCUUGCGGGUUACGCAGUUUGAGAUUGUAAAUUUUUAUGUUGUUGGAACUUCUGGGCUAAAUAUGACAAUGGACAUAGCUCCCCACACUGGAAAUAGCUUCUCAUCUGAUCAAGUUACUGCAAUGAAUUAUUCUCUUAGCUCGCAUACAGUUCGGAUCAAUCCGGUGCUGGUCGGGGACUACAAUCUUAUUAAUUUAACGUGGUUCAGGCCAUUGGGUCCAGCUCCUGCUCCAGCAUUCAUGAUAUCACCUAAGGCAUCUCCAUCUACAUCAUCUGCCUUACCAAAAACGAGUGAGCACACCAGCAGUAGCAAGCACUUGAGCCUGGUCACUGUCAUUUGCAUAUGUAUUGGUGCUCUAAUUGGUGUCCUGGUGAUUGUUCUAUUUAUUUGCUUCUGCACAUUUAGGAAAGGAAAGAAGAAGGCGCCUCCUGUUGAAACAUCCAAGCAAAGGACACCAGAUGCAGUAUCUGCAGUUGAAUCACUCCCUCGCCCCACAAGUACAAGGUUCCUUGCAUAUGAAGAACUUAAAGAAGCAACAAACAACUUUGAGGCUUCAUGUGUGCUUGGGGAAGGUGGUUUUGGCCGUGUCUUUAAGGGGAUACUAAGUGACGGCACUGCUGUUGCUAUUAAGAAGCUUACUACUGGGGGGCACCAAGGAGAUAAGGAGUUUCUAGUUGAAGUGGAGAUGCUGAGCAGAUUGCACCACCGCAAUCUUGUGAAACUCAUUGGAUACUAUAGCAACCGUGAAUUGUCACAAAGCCUUCUUUGUUAUGAGCUUGUUCCAAAUGGAAGUCUAGAAGCUUGGCUUCAUGGCUCAUUAGGCGCUGACUGCCCCUUGGAUUGGGACACCAGAAUGAAGAUAGCACUUGAUGCUGCAAGGGGAUUAGCAUACCUUCACGAGGAUUCACAGCCUUGUGUAAUCCACAGGGAUUUCAAAGCUUCAAAUAUAUUGCUCGAGAAUGACUUUCAUGCUAAAGUGUCUGAUUUUGGUUUGGCCAAACAGGCACCAGAAGGGCGCUUAAAUUAUCUUUCAACUCGUGUUAUGGGAACUUUUGGGUACGUAGCACCAGAGUAUGCAAUGACAGGACACUUAAUUGUAAAAAGUGAUGUAUAUAGCUAUGGAGUUGUUCUACUUGAACUACUUACUGGGAGGAGGCCUGUGGACAUGUCACAAUCUUCGGGGCAGGAGAAUCUAGUCACAUGGACACGGCCAGUCCUUCGGGAUAAAGAUAGGCUACAGGAACUAGCUGACCCCAAGCUUGGUGGACAGUAUCCGAAAGAUGAUUUUGUGAGGGUGUGCACAAUCGCAGCAGCCUGUGUUUCCCCGGAGGCGAACCAAAGGCCAACGAUGGGCGAGGUGGUGCAGUCACUUAAGAUGGUGCAACGCUCCACGGAGUUCCAAGAAUCUGUACCGACACCGCCCGCUCGUCCUAAUGCCCGGCAUACUGCAACGACAUAUGAAUCUGAUGGCACUUCAUCCAUGUUCUCAUCCGGACCCUUCUCGGGCCUCAGCCCCUUUGAGACUGAAAACAUGUCAAGAACGGCGGUUUUCUCGGAAGAUCUUCAUGAAGGGGCCGCGGUUGCGGCGGACGCCAAGCCGUACAGCCCGGCGGACUCCAUCCUGCUCAACUGCGGCUCCACGGCGGACGGGCUGGACGCGGACGGGCGCAAGUGGCUGGCGGACACCAACAACAACAUGUGGCUGGGCGACUCCGGCAAGUCGUCCCUGAUGGCGGCGGCGGACGAGCUGGACUCGUCGCUGCCGUCGACGAUCCCCUACAUGACGGCGCGCGUCUUCACGGUGGACACGGUGUACAACUUCACGGUGAACCCCAAGGACCGGCACUGGCUCCGCCUCCACUUCUACCCGUCCUCCUACAACGGGAUCGCGCCCGAGGACUUCCGCUUCUCCGUCUCCACCUCCACGGGCCUCACCCUCCUCCACAACUUCAGCGUCUGGGUCACCACCAAGGCGCUCACCCAGGCCUACAUCGUCCGGGAGUUCUCGCUCCCGCGGACGCCCGCGGGAUUCAUCGCCGUCACCUUCACCCCGACGCCCAUGACCAACGUCACCUACGCCUACAUCAACGGCCUGGAGCUCAUCUCCAUGCCAGACAUCUUCGAGGACCCCGCCAUCAUGGUGGGCUUCGCCGACCAGACCGUCGACAUCGCCACCUCCUCCUUCCAGACCAUGUACCGCUUCAACAUCGGCGGGGGUUACAUCCCGCCCUCCAACGACUCCGGCCUCGCCCGCUCCUGGUUCGACGACACGCCCUACGUCUUCGGCGUCAUGCAGGGGGUCAGCUACACGGCCGGCCCCCGGUUCCACGUCAAGUACCCCACCGAGGCAUCUGAGUACGCCGCCCCCGUCGAGGUCUACCUCGGCACCCGCUCCAUGGGCUCCGACCCGCGCGUCAACCAGAACUACAACCUCACCUGGACCAUGGAGGUGGACGGCAACUUCACCUACGUCGUCCGCCUCCACUUCUGCGAGCUCCUGCUCAACCGUCCCAACCAGCGCGCCUUCGACAUCUACAUCAACAACAAGACGGCGCAGUCGGACGCCGACGUCAUCGAGAUGACGUCCGAGCGUGGCGUGCCGGUCUACAAGGACUUCGCCGUGCAUAUGGCCGACGACCCCGGGGAUGAGGUCAUGUGGGUGGCCAUGCACCCGUCCGUGGCGCUCAGGCCCCAGUUCUACGACGCCAUCCUCAACGGCCUCGAGGUCUUCAAGCUCAACGACACCGCCGGCAACCUGGCCGCGCCGGACCCCGUGCCGUCCAAGAUGCUCGCGGAGGCGGAGCUGGGCGACAGCGAGAAGGACCGGUCCAAGAAAUCCAAGGACCAGGCAAACAUGGCGACGGUGAUAGGUGGCACGGCGGGCGGCGCCGCUGCGGUGGGGAUCGUCGCGGCCAUCUGCGUGGUAGUCUACCACAACAAGAAGAACAGGGAGCUCACCGGCAGCGACUCGCAUAACUCCGGCUGGCUGCCGAUGUACCACUCUACAACCAGCGGCAAGUCGUCCGGCCACCUAGCGGCGAACCUGGCGGGCAUGUGCCGGCACUUCUCCAUCGCGGAGAUAAAGACGGCGACCAAGAACUUCAGCGAGUCGCUGGUGAUCGGCGUGGGCGGGUUCGGGAAGGUGUACCGCGGCGUGGUGGACGGCGACACCAAGGUGGCCAUCAAGCGGUCGAACCCGUCGUCGGAGCAGGGCGCGUUGGAGUUCCAGACGGAGAUCGAGAUGCUGUCCAAGCUGCGGCACCGGCACCUCGUCUCCCUCAUCGGCUUCUGCGAGGAGAGCAACGAGAUGGUCCUCGUCUACGACUACAUGGAGCACGGCACGCUGCGGGAGCACCUCUACAACAAGGGCAGCAACCCGCCGCUGUCGUGGCGGCACCGCCUCGACAUCUGCAUCGGCGCCGCGCGGGGUUUGCACUACCUCCACACCGGCGCCAAGUACACCAUCAUCCACCGCGACGUCAAGACCACCAACAUCCUGGUGGACGAGAACUGGGUCGCCAAGGUCUCCGACUUCGGCCUCUCCAAGUCCGGCUCGUCCACAGUGAACCAGGCGCACGUCAGCACCAUGGUCAAGGGGAGCUUCGGAUACCUCGACCCGGAGUACUUCCGGCGGCAGCAGCUCACCGACAAGUCGGACGUCUACUCCUUCGGCGUCGUGCUGUUCGAGGUGCUCAUGGCGCGGCCGGCGCGGAGCCCGCAGCUGCCGCGGGAGCAGGUCAGCCUCGCCGACUAUGCGCUCAGCUGCCAGCGGAAGGGCACCCUGCGGGACGUCGUCGACCCCACCAUCAAGGACCAGAUCGCGCCAGAGUGCCUCGUCAAGUUCGCCGAGACGGCCGAGAAGUGCCUAGCCGACCAAGGCUUGGAGCGGCCGUCCAUGGGCGACGUGCUGUGGAACCUCGAGUUCGCGAUGCAGCUGCAGGACGCGUUCGACGGCGCCAGCGGGCGACGGCAGGCCCAAGACGACGGGAGCGGCAGUGGGCGCCCGGUGCUCGAGCCCAGCAACAGCUAUGGGAGCACCGCCAGCGUAACGACGAUCGGGACGUCGUCCACGUCCAGGGCGCACGACGCUUGCGUCGUAAUUGAGGAGGAGGACGACGACAUAACCAACCGCGCGGUCUUCUCGCAGCUCGUGCAACCCACCGGGCGGUGACACGAGCCCAGCGGCUCCCUGUUUCCACGGGAGCGCCAAGCGUCAAGAGUGAAGAGAGUGUGCUAUGUGUUGUGUUGUUGGUGCUAAAUUUUGAGAUUCUCU
Molecule: RNA transcript, 5239 nt
Organism: Triticum aestivum (bread wheat)
Lineage: Eukaryota; Viridiplantae; Streptophyta; Magnoliopsida; Poales; Poaceae
Gene name: receptor-like protein kinase FERONIA
Exons: 9
Source: RefSeq, a predicted model, not a curated record